GCAGUGGUUGUUAGGUGAUAAAAUUCUUGCCUUCCAUGCAGGAGACCCAGGUUCGAUUCCCGGCCAAUGCA
RNAcentral lists this transfer RNA (71 nucleotides) under Loxodonta africana (African savanna elephant). It matches the Rfam family "tRNA". From Rfam's summary of the family: Transfer RNA (tRNA) molecules are approximately 80 nucleotides in length. Their secondary structure includes four short double-helical elements and three loops (D, anti-codon, and T loops). The record is from Rfam by way of RNAcentral. Lineage: Eukaryota; Metazoa; Chordata; Mammalia; Proboscidea; Elephantidae.